GGACGAACGCUGGCGGCGUGCCUAAUACAUGCAAGUCGAGCGAAGAAUUAUUGGUGCUUGCACCGAUAAUUCUUAGCGGCGAACGGGUGAGUAACACGUAAAGAACCUGCCUUAUAGACCGGGAUAACUAUGGGAAACUGUAGCUAAUACCGGAUAACAGUAUUUUCCGCAUGGGAGAUAUUUAAAAGUCGGUCAUGCUGACACUAUAAGAUGGCUUUGCGGAGCAUUAGCUAGUUGGUGGGAUAAAAGCCUACCAAGGCGACGAUGCAUAGCCGACCUGAGAGGGUGAACGGCCACAUUGGGACUGAGACACGGCCCAAACUCCUACGGGAGGCAGCAGUAGGGAAUCUUCCGCAAUGGACGAAAGUCUGACGGAGCAACGYCGCGUGAGUGAAGAAGGAUUUCGGUUCGUAAAGCUCUGUUGUUAGGGAAGAAAGGUUGUGUAGUAACUAUACACAAAACAGACGGUACCUAACCAGAAAGCCACGGCUAACUACGU
This 499-nucleotide ribosomal RNA is filed under the name Gemella sp. 'ARUP UnID 334'. RNAcentral describes it as "bacterial SSU rRNA". It matches the Rfam family "Bacterial small subunit ribosomal RNA", at positions 27 to 506 of the family's 1533-position model. The record is from RNAcentral. Lineage: Bacteria; Bacillati; Bacillota; Bacilli; Caryophanales; Gemellaceae.